CGUGUAGGCGGAUUUUUAAGUCAGGUGUGAAAUCUUUGGGCUUAACCCAGAGUUUGCAUUUGAAACUGGAAGUCUUGAGUGCAGGAGAGGGCAGUGGAAUUCCUAGUGUAGCGGUGAAAUGCGUAGAUAUUAGGAGGAACACCAGUGGCGAAGGCGACUGCCUGGACUGUAACUGACGCUGAGGCGCGAAAGCGUGGGGAGCAAACA
Molecule: ribosomal RNA, 207 nt
Filed under: uncultured Eubacteriales bacterium
Lineage: Bacteria; Bacillati; Bacillota; Clostridia; Eubacteriales
Description: uncultured Clostridiales bacterium partial 16S ribosomal RNA
Rfam family: Bacterial small subunit ribosomal RNA
Source: RNAcentral